GGAAUGGUGUGGAUCAAUGGGUUGAGCAUCUGCUUUGCAUGCAAAAGGUCUCAGGUUCAACCCCCAGCUUCUCCA
Molecule: non-coding RNA, 75 nt
Organism: Podarcis lilfordi (Lilford's wall lizard)
Lineage: Eukaryota; Metazoa; Chordata; Lepidosauria; Squamata; Lacertidae
Source: the annotation of a GenBank genome assembly